UCUCACCUUCUGCUGGCCCUGCAUCGAUUGGACACAACAAUCAAAGCCAGAUAUUAAGGUCAGCCUUCCAUACACAGAACACAGCAGAGAAGGGCGGAGAAUGGAUCUGGGGUCGGGGAGUACAGUGUCCAGCACAUAGUAGGUGCUCAAUAAAUGCUUGCUAAAGUGCGUUGAGCUGACUUGGGAAUGGCUUACACAAAGACAAAAGGCAUGUUCUACCAUGGCACUUAGCUGCAAGAUGGGGAGCUGCAUAUGUACAUCCUGAGCUGCUUCGCCACUGCUGUGAAAGCAGAGAAGGGUUGAGUCCCUGGAAAAGGAAUUUGGGUAAGUGCAUCGGAGGAUGGGAGGAAGCAGAGAGGUGCCCGUCAGUGUUCCAGGCUGUGGACUUCGAUGGGCAGCCAAGAUGAGACUUUUCAGGGGCAAUGAGACAUUUGUUCAGGAAACAAACUUGGGGCAGAACCUCAAUGUUAAAAGCUCUGUUAGAAAUCAUCUGAUAGGAUUCCCAACAUAUGACAUCACACUGUGGGGUUGAGGUGGGAGGGCAGGAUGGAUGACUGUAAAGCAUCAACAUAAAGCUGGUGAUCCAGUAUAACAUGCUAAUACCUCAGGGGAAAGAUAAAUUGCAAGACAGGGUGAAAAAAUUCAGGGAAGGGCUCUGAUUGGCCUGGCUGAGUCCAAUGCCUAUCCCUUCUACCUAUCACAGGCCAGAGGGUCUCUUGCUUCUUCCUGUACCAGUUACUAGAAGAGGUGGGGAAAAGGUUGCUGGGAAGACAGAAACUAUGUGUUUUGAUAUUUCUAACCGUUCGUCAGUCUGGAGCCAGUAUCUGAAUCUUGUUUUUCACAGAUGGCAUUGCAAAGACAGCAUACCAGAGGGAUAGUUGAGGGUUCUCAGGGGCCAUAAAAUGCUACAGGCAAGAAAGAUGUGGGCUUUCUUAAACAAUUGGCUGAAAAAACAGAGGGAACACAGGGAAUGCACAGAAUGCAUUCUGGGCUUUCUAGCUAUUAUGCCUUAAGGCAGUGGUUCUCAAAGCGUGUUCUGGGGAGCCCUGGGAGAUUCUGAGAUUUCUUUCAGAGGGUCCUCAAGAUCAAAACUAUUUUCAUAGUAAUAUAAGACAUUAUUUGCUUAUGUUACUGUCAUUGACUCACCGGUGUACGGUGGAGGAGAAUGAAAUAUUCCAGGGGAUGCCUGGCAUGUGACGAUGCUACAGACUGAAUGCGGAAGCAGGCACGAGAACCCACGUCUUCCGUGAAGCCAGCCAUUAAAGAAGUCUGCAAGAAUGGAAAACAGUGCCACUCUUCUCACUAUUUUUUUUGGAAAAUAGUUAUUUUAUGUAAAAAUAGAUAUUUACGUUAACAUGCAAUGAGUUUAUUAGUUACUUUAAAGAUGAAUUAGUGUGUACACUUGUAGAGAUUUCUCAGUUUUAAUUUCUGAUAUGGCAAGUAUUGAUAGAUGUUACCGACAUAAACAAGAGCUCUUUGGGGUCCUCACUCAUUUUUAAGACUGUGAAAGCAUCCCGGGAUUAAACAUUUGAGAAUCACUCACUGCCUUAGGGUAAUGUUAAGUCCCUGGCAAUGAACGGGGGAAGGGAAUUAACCUUUUUUCUGCUUGCAUCUUCGUUUGCAGUAGUCUGUUUUAAUACUGAAGUUAUAUUGAAUGAAUUAUAGUACUUGUCAUCCUGUGGAGAUAGCCCCAUGGAGACAGGAGAAUGUGCAGCAAAUAGUGGGAAGAUCAUGCAUGAAAUUUAGUCAGACAGUCCUGUCUUUAACUUAAAGUUCCUCUGGGCAAGUGAUUGUGAUCAAAUUACUUACUAUUUCUGAACUGCAAUUUCUCAUUGGUAAAAUGUAGAUGGUAACAGCUACCCAACUCACUGAAAUUUUGUGAAGAUUAAAUGAGGUGUUUGUGAAACCAUCAAACCCGUUGCCAGGUGAUGUCUUUUUCAUUUUAUCAAUUUAAGCAGCAAGGCAAUGUACUUCUAUAGAAAGGUGAGUCCUUACAGAUGGAGCAAUGGUGAGUACACACCUGGACAAGGGAGGGAAAGGGGUUCUUAUCCCUGAGGCGCUGUGGCCCCUGCUGCUGUGUUGUUCCCCUAUUGGCUAGGAUUAGACCGCACAGGCUAAACUAAUUCUGAUUGGCUAAUUUAAACAGCGAGAUUGGGGCGAGUGGUUUGGCGGGAAAAAAUGGUUAUGCAGUGAGGAGGAUGAGUCAGGGCAGAGCAGGUGGCAGGUAAUUGGAAUGUCAGGGUGGAGCAGGUAAUCGGAAUGAGUCAGGGUGGAGCAGGUGAUUGAAAUGAGGGUGGAGCAGGUAAUAGAAAAAGGUUGCUUUAUGAUGAAGUUUAAAAGUAGAAGGCAAAGAAUUGAAUAUACUGACAUAUUGAUUCUUUGAAAAGAAAUUUAGAACUCAUAUCUAACGGCAUAACUUGGCAGGCUAGUUAAUGAAGUUAAGAAGAUCAAAUCUGCAAGAAUUCUGAGAAUCAGCUUGUGCAGCUGAAACUGCCUUUGCAAAAUAAUGACCGAGACAGUGAAAGAGAUCUAACUUAACUGACUUCAUCUUGCUUCUAACCUUUAAGCUGCGCUGUUCCUUCUUGGGUGUAAGCUGAACUAACUUAGGGAGGAACUUAGUUUCAGUUUAAAACAAAGACGAUGGCAGCCCUUUCCCAAAACAAACUUCCUUCUUGCCUGGGCACUAGACUGCCUUUGUAGGACUAAUAAAUUAGCCACAAGAUUAUAAAUUAUGGUUUAGGAAUCAUGUGGCUGGAGGCUACAAGAUUCUGAGCCUCCCUAAACUGUUCCUAAGAUCACUGCUUGAGAUAUUUUGCAGACUCUGCACUUGAUGGAUCAGCUGACACCACCCAGAUUGAUAAACUGGCUCAUCUGAUCUUGUGGCCGCCACCCAGGAACUGACUCAGCAAAAGAGGACAGCUUCAGCUUCCUAUAAUUUCAUCUCCUACCUAACCAAUCAGCACUCCUGGCUCACUGGCUUUCCCUCACCCACCAAGUUGUCCUUAAAAUCUCUGAUCCUUUGAGUAAUAAUAAAACUCUGGUCUCCCACACAGCAGUCUCUGCAGUGAAUUACUCUUUCUCUAUUGCAGUUCCCCUGUCUUGAUAUAUCAGCUGUGUCUAGGCAGCGGUAUCAGCUGUGUCUAGGCAGUGGGCAAGGUGAACCCAUUGGGCGGUUACGCAGCUGCUGGAUGAGCAAAUAAAUGCACGGAAAAAGAAGAAAAACCGAGAGUCAAACUUACAGACUCUGUGAUGUGUCCUGGAUGCAAAGACCACCUCCUGGAGUUUUUGCUACCUUUGCUUUUCAGCUGCAAGUAUUUUGGGAAGUCGAAGCUUGGAGAGAUUCUGUGAAUUGGUGAAGGACACAUAGCAAAGCCAGGAUUCAGAUUCAGAUCUGCUUGACUCCAAGGUCAUUCCAGAAAUCUCCCUUUUCCUUUGUACCCUGUGACAUGACAGCUGGGUCCUUUCUGCUCAGAUUUCCAUGCCUGACAACCAUUUAAAUGGAAUACAAGAAUGCAGUUUUCUUAGGUUGAAAGAAAUUCACCCUCUAUCAAGAAUUAUUUAUAGUUCCUCUGGAGUGAGAGAGGAAGACGUUACCCACGCAGUGCUCUGUGGAAUCAUCUGAGCCACCACUUCUGCCUUGGGGACACGUCCAUCUGGGGAAGUAUUUGGAUCCUUUGGCUGAACAAUGUGUUUUGGGGUCUUUAAUAUGUCACCUUAAGGAUGAGGCCUAGAGAACAUGGCCUUUUGUUGAACAGUUUGUAAGCUCUCAAAUGUGAGUAAAUGUGAGGAGGGUCUUGAGAGAUAUAGAAAGCUCAAGAAACCUAGCUGGAGUCUCUAGAGUGUUGAGAAAAGUGGUGAGGAGAAAUUCCCAUUGCGGGGGAUGGGAGUGGUGGUUCAGGAGGAUUUUUGAGAAUGGGGAUAGAGAGCCUAGAAAUAAGGCCACACACCCAUGGCCAUCUGAUCGUCAACAAAGCAAGCAAUGAGUAAUGGACUCCUUGUUCAAUAAAUGGUGCUGGGUUGACUGAUUAGCCAUAUGCAGAAGAUUGAAACUGGACUCCUUCCUCACACCAUAUACAGAAAUCAACUCAAGAUGGAUUAAAGACUUAAAUGUAAAACCCAGAACUAUAAAAACUCUGGAAGACAACCUAGGCAAUACCACCCUGGAUAUAGGAACGGGCAAAGAUUUCAUGAUGAAGACACUAAAAGCAAUUGCAGCAAAAGCAAAAAUUGACAAAUGUGAUCUGAUUAAACCUAAGAGCUUCUGAACAGCAAAAGAAAUUAUCAACAGAGUAAACAACCUACGGAAUAGGAGAACAUAUUUGCAAAGUAAGUAUCCAACAAAGGUCUCAUAUCCAGCAUCUAUAAGGAACUUAAACAAAUUUAUAAGAAAUAACUAACAAUUCCAACAAAAAGUGGGCAAAGUACACGAACAGACACUUUGCUAAGAAGACAUACAUGUGGCUAACAAGCAAAUGAAAAAAAGCUCAGUAUCAUGAUCAUUAGAGAAAUGCAAAUCAAAACCACAAUGAGAUAUAUCAUCUCACACCAGUCAGAAUGGCUAUUAUUAAAAAGUCAAAAAAAUAACCGAUGGCUGGUAAAGUUGCAGAGUAAAGGAAAUACUUAUACACUGUUAGUAGGAGUUUAAAUUAGUUCAACCAUUAUGGAAAGCAGUGUGGUGAUUCCUCAAAGAGCUAAAAACAGGACUACCAUUUGACCCAGCAAACCCAUUACUGGGUAUAUGCCCGGAGGAAUAGAAAUCAUUCUACCAUAAAAACAUGUGCAACAAAUGUUCAUUGCAGCACUAUUCAAAAUAGUAAAGACAUAGAAUCAACCUAAAUGCCCAUCAAUGACAGAUUGGAUAAAAAAUGUGGUACAUAGGUCCCAUGGAAUACCAUGCAGCCAUAAAAAAGAACAAGAUCAUGUAUUUUGCAGGAACAUGAUGGAGCUGGAGGCCAUUAUCCUUAGCAAACUAAUGCAGAAACGGAAAAGGAAAUAGUGCAUGUUCUUACUCAUAAGAGGGAGCUAAAUGAGGAGACAUCAUGGAUACAAAGAGGGGAACAACAGACACUGGGACCUCUUUGAGGGUGGAGGGUAGGAGGAGGGAGAGGAGCAGAAAAACAAAUUAAUCUUGUUGUACAGAUUAUUUUGUCACCCAGGUACUAAACCUGGUACUAUCGGGUACCCUACCACUGCUUUAUCAACUAAGUUUCUGUAAUAGUUUAAAUCCUUCAUUGUCAUUACAACAAUGUUCAUGGCAUCUUCACCAGGAGUAAAUCUCAUCUCAAGAAACCACUUUUUUUGCUUACCCAUAAGAAGCAACUCCUCAUCUAUUCAAAUUUGAUCAUGAGAUUGCAGCAAUCUGGUCACAUCUUCAGGUUCACUCUAAUUCAAGUUCUCUUGCUGUUUCUACCACAUCCACAGUUACUUCCUUCACUGAAAUUUUGAACCUGUCAAAAUUUGGUACCUUACUGUUGUGUACCAGGUUUAGUACCUGGGUGACAAAAUAAUCUGUACAACAGACCCCCGUGAUACCAGUUAACCUAGGUAACAAACCUGCACAUGUACUCCUGAACCUGAAAU
Molecule: long non-coding RNA, 5580 nt
Organism: Pongo pygmaeus (Bornean orangutan)
Lineage: Eukaryota; Metazoa; Chordata; Mammalia; Primates; Hominidae
Exons: 6
Source: RefSeq, a predicted model, not a curated record